GUUGUUUGUAAAUAUUUUAUAAGUUGUUUUUUCAAAUCUGAAUCUCUUAUUAUUUUUUGUGAUUUGUUUUGUUGUGAUUUUGUCAAAAUGUAGUUUUAUCUCAGAAAGCUUGAAUAUAACAAAAAAAAAAAGGGCUUGAUUGGUGAUUUUAUGCUUUCUAAAUUUGUAGAAAAUUCCAUAUCAUUAUUUAUUCUUCUUACAAUCGUCUAUUUUGAUAUAAGCUGUAUCUGAUAAAAAUUGACCUUAUGCAAAUUAACAUCAAGACAACUUUAAACUUAGACUUAGACAUGUACAUUUUUAGGUGCACUUACAUAAGGUCUAUAUCUAUCUGAAGCUUCUCAUCUAUUAUAAUGUAUUGUAUUUUUUU
This 367-nucleotide long non-coding RNA is filed under the name Mytilus galloprovincialis (Mediterranean mussel). Lineage: Eukaryota; Metazoa; Mollusca; Bivalvia; Mytilida; Mytilidae. The record is from RNAcentral.